CGCAGCCGCGGUAAUUCCAGCUCCAAUAGCGUAUAUUAAAGUUGCUGCAGUUAAAAAGCUCGUAGUUGAAUUUCGGGACCAUCAUGUCGGUCGUGCCUCGGUACGUACUGGCAUCGUUGGUUUCUCCCUUCUGACGAACCAUGAUGUCAUUAAUUUGGUGUCAUGGGGAAUCAGGACUGUUACUUUGAAAAAUUAGAGUGUUUAAAGCAGGCUCACGCUUGAAUACAUUAGCAUGGAAUAAUGAAAUAGGACGUUUGAUUCUAUUUUGUUGGUUUCUAGGAUCGACGUAAUGAUUAAUAGGGAUAGUUGGGGGCAUUAGUAUUCAAUUGUCAGAGGUGAAAUUCUUGGAUUUAUUGAAGACUAACUACUGCGAAAGCAUUUGCCAAGGAUGUUUUCAUUAAUCAAGAACGAAAGUUAGGGGAUCGAAGACGAUCAGAUACCGUCGUAGUC
RNAcentral lists this ribosomal RNA (450 nucleotides) under uncultured Glomeromycotina. RNAcentral describes it as "SSU rRNA". It matches the Rfam family "Eukaryotic small subunit ribosomal RNA", at positions 569 to 1025 of the family's 1831-position model. The record is from RNAcentral. Lineage: Eukaryota; Fungi; Glomeromycota.